Aedes albopictus (Asian tiger mosquito) is the source of this 73-nucleotide non-coding RNA. The record is from Rfam. Lineage: Eukaryota; Metazoa; Arthropoda; Insecta; Diptera; Culicidae.
UGUUCUGUGGCUUAGUUGGUUGAAGCGCUAGACUAGCGAUACGGAGUCUUGGGUUCGAAUCCCAACAAAACAA